Cannabis sativa is the source of this 2647-nucleotide long non-coding RNA. RefSeq lists it as uncharacterized. The record is from RefSeq and is a predicted model, not a curated record. Lineage: Eukaryota; Viridiplantae; Streptophyta; Magnoliopsida; Rosales; Cannabaceae. The transcript is spliced from 2 exons.
UUUUUUUUUUUUUGUUAUUUAAAAAAUAAUUGUACAUAUUAAACUAUGUGAUAAUCUCACAUAAUUCAGAAACUAAUUUGGUAUUAUCUAUGUACAUUAUACAUAAUAAUUUUAUUAUGUUAAUUUGAUUCGUCUAACAUAUAGUAUUUUUAUUGAUGAUAUUAAUUUUUAUUAUUAUUCGUGUUUUCGGUAAGAGACAUGUGGAUUCUAAAUAGAAGUCAAGGCCUAUCAGUGGGCCCAAACAACAUGGACUAGGCCGAGCCCAACACCAACCUAGCCUUCUGGGAAAGCAAUCACACUUCUCGCUUAGGCGAGCUUCUGCCAAGGUUACUCUGCAUCUGGAAGGAUCCUAGUUCCGUGUAUCUGGAAGAACUCUUUAGCAUGUAUCUAGAAGCUAGCCGUAGUUUCCCGUUUACCGUUACGUGCAAAAUAAGAAAAUCACUUUCCUUAAAUAUUGGACAAGAAUAAAUAUCAAGCUAAAAUACAAAAUUAAAGAUCAAAUAAUUAAUAUCGCAUUAAUUAUCCAUAAUCAAGAGAUACAGUAUGAAUAGCUAUGACUGUGAUCAACAUGCCAAGUCAACAUACAGCUACUGCCUCAUGGGCUAGACUUCACUUGAUAAGCACAAAGUGAUGUAUUACUUGUAAACUCUCCAUCAAUGGGAAAGGGUAACGAAGUAUGACCUCCACUACUCUAUAAAUACACAUUGAAUCCCUCAUACAAAAUGUUGAAAUUUUUUGCCUCACAAGCUCGAGAAGAGAAUAGAGUGCUCAUAAUAAUACAUACUCGUGGACUGAGACUCAUUAACGCUCCAACCACGUUGUAACACCCUAAUGCUUAACGUGCCGUGUGACAGUUAGUAGUCCCAUGAUCCGUAAGGGAAAAUACCGAGUAAGCUGUACAAUCCCACAUCGCCUGGGGAAGGUCAAGUGAGAUGAUUCAGAGACUGUGUAGGUAUGGGACUACACAGUUGAAGAGAGCUUAAAUGGAAGAAGUGUGCGAGUGAGGACAAGGCACGUUGGAAACACUCGUGUUGGUCUGUAGGGCCAGUCGUCAGUCUAGAAAGCAGCCAGAGUGACGUACUCGUGUAUAAGAGCCAUUCAUUCCGUGGGUGUAAGGGUCCAAUGGAAGCUUGAAGCAGGGACGUUACAUGCCGCUAUGAAACAUGUGGAUUCUAAAUAGAAGUCAAGACCUAUCAGUGGGCCCAAACAACAUGGACUAGGCCGAGCCCAACACCAACCUAGCCUUCUGGGAAAGCAAUCACACUUCUCGCUUAGGCGAGCUUCUGCCAAGGUUACUCUGCAUCUGGAAGGAUCCUAGUUCCGUGUAUCUGGAAGAACUCUUUAGCAUGUAUCUAGAAGCUAGCCGUAGUUUCCCGUUUACUGUUACGUGCAAAAUAAGAAAAUCACUUUCCUUAAAUAUUGGACAAGAAUAAAUAUCAAGCUAAAAUACAUAAUUAAAGAUCAAAUAAUUAAUAUCGCAUUAAUUAUCCAUAAUCAAGAGAUACAGUAUGAAUAGCUAUGACUGUGAUCAAAAUGCCAAGUCAACAUACAGCUACUGCCUCAUGGGCUAGACUUCACUUGAUAAGCACAAAGUGAUGUAUUACUUGUAAACUCCCCAUCAAUGGGAAAGGGUAACGAAGUAUGACCUCCACUACUCUAUAAAUACACAUUGAGUCCCUCAUACAAAAUGUUGAAAUUUUUUGCCUCACAAGCUCGAGAAGAGAAUAGAGUGCUCAUAAUAAUACAUACUCGUGGACUGAGACUCAUUAACGCUCCAACCACGUUGUAACGCCCUAAUGCUUAACGUGCCGUGUGACAGUUAGUAGUCCCGUGAUCCGUAAGGGAAAAUACCGAGUAAGCUGUACAAUCCCACAUCGCCUGGGGAAGGUCAAGUGGGAUGAUUCAGAGACUGUGUAGGUAUGGGAUUACACAGUUGAAGAGAGCUUAAAUGGAUUGAUUGGUACUACCUAUAUCAACAAGGUGCAUCUUGUUUUUCGGUAGCCCAUCUCGAAAGAACUCCACAGUUAAGUGUGCUUGGCUUGGAGCAAUUUCAGGAUGGGUGACCUCCUGGAAAGUUUUCUCAAGAAGUGUGCGAGUGAGGAAAAGCACGGUGGAAACACUCGUGUUGGUCUGUAGGGCCAGUCGUCAGUCCAGAAAGCAGCCAGAGUGACGUACUCGUGUAUAAGAGCCAUUCAUUCCGUGGGUGUAAGGGUCCAAUGGAAGCUUGAAGCGGGGACGUUACAUGCCGCUAUGAAGUAAGUUGUAUUGUGAUAAUAAAUGAGUUGUAUUGUAUUCCAACAAUAAUAGAUUCUCGACAAAGUCAAAACAUAUUGACAUCAAGUUCCUUGUUGGAAAAGAAAUGGUGCAGAUUGGACAAAUUUGUAUAAAAAACUUAGGUACAAAUUCCAUGGUUGCAGACUAUUUUACAAAGAUUUUGCCACCCAAGGUCUUUCAUGAGUACACUGUUUAUAUGGGUGUUUUAGAGUAUGAUAAUAUCUAGAUUCAAUGGGAGUUUUGUUGGGUUUUAUGCCCUAAAUAAAACUCUGUUUCAAUGUAAUCCAGAUUAUUCAAUAUUGAUUACAGUGCAAAAUUUACAUAUAUUUAUAUGUUAUUUGGCUGAAUAAAUACAAUUAAAUUAUUUAUUUUA